RNAcentral lists this ribosomal RNA (527 nucleotides) under uncultured bacterium. Its description in RNAcentral is "bacterial SSU rRNA". It matches the Rfam family "Bacterial small subunit ribosomal RNA", at positions 984 to 1509 of the family's 1533-position model. The record is from RNAcentral.
ACAUCCAGAGAAUUUAGCAGAGAUGCUUUAGUGCCUUCGGGAACUCUGAGACAGGUGCUGCAUGGCUGUCGUCAGCUCGUGUUGUGAAAUGUUGGGUUAAGUCCCGNAACGAGCGCAACCCUUUAUCCUUUGUUGCCAGCACGUAAUGGUGGGAACUCAAAGGAGACUGCCGGUGAUAAACCGGAGGAAGGUGGGGAUGACGUCAAGUCAUCAUGGCCCUUACGAGUAGGGCUACACACGUGCUACAAUGGCGCAUACAAAGAGAAGCGACCUCGCGAGAGCAAGCGGACCUCAUAAAGUGCGUCGUAGUCCGGAUUGGAGUCUGCAACUCGACUCCAUGAAGUCGGGAUCGCUAGUAAUCGUAAAUCAGAAUGUUACGGUGAAUACGUUCCCGGGCCUUGUACACACCGCCCGUCACACCAUGGGAGUGGGUUGCAAAAGAAGUAGAUAGCUUAACCUUCGGGAGGGCGUUUACCACUUUGUGAUUCAUGACUGGGGUGAAGUCGUAACAAGGUAAGCGUAGUGCU